RNAcentral lists this long non-coding RNA (1009 nucleotides) under Salmo salar (Atlantic salmon). Its description in RNAcentral is "lncRNA (ENSSSAG00000089000.1)". The record is from RNAcentral. Lineage: Eukaryota; Metazoa; Chordata; Actinopteri; Salmoniformes; Salmonidae.
UAAAACUCUUUUUUCAACCAUUAUUCAAAUGUAUUGUUUUGAAAACUAUAGAUUUGUUAAGUCUCUUUAUAUGUCAUGUAUUGUCAUAGGUUCUUUUACUAUCGUCUAUCUAUAUAUGUCAUGUAUUGUCAGAGGUCCUGUUUCUAUCGUCUAUCUACAUAUGUCAUGUCUUGUCAGAGGUACUUUUACUGUCGUCUAUCUAUAUAUGUCAUGAAUUGUCAGUGGUCCUUUUACUGUUGUCUAUCUACAUAUGUCACGUCAUGUCAUGUCAUGUCAGAGGUCCUUUUACUGUCGUCUAUCUACAUAUGUCACGUCAUGUCAUGUCAGAGGUCCUUUUACUAUCGUCUACCUACCAAUGUCAUGUCUUGUCAGAAGUACUUUUACUCUCUUCUAUCUACAUAUGUCAUGUCUUGUCAGUUGUUCAUUACUAUCGUCUAUCUAUAUAUGUCAUGUCUUGUCAGAGGUUAUUUUACUAUUGUCUAUCUACAUAUGUCAUGGAGUCAUUGGAGUCAUUAAAACUCGUUUUUCCUACCAUUACUCAAAUGUAUUGUUUUCAAACUAUAGAUUUGUUAAGUCUCUUUAUAUGUCAUGUUACUAUCGUCUAUCUACCAAUGUCAUGUCUUGUCAGAGGUACUUUUACUAUCGUCUAUCUACAUAUGUCAUGUCUUGUCAGAGGUCCUUUUACUGUCGUCUAUCUACAUAUGUCACGUCAUGUCAUGUCAUGUCAUGUCAGAGGUCCUUUUACUAUCGUCUACCUACCAAUGUCAUGUCUUGUCAGAGGUACUUUUACUCUCUUCUAUCUACAUAUGUCAUGUCAUGUCAUGUCAGAGGUCCUUUUACUAUCGUCUACCUACCAAUCUCAUGUCUUGUCAGAGGGACUUUUACAAUCUUCUAUCUACAUAUGUCAUGUCUUGUCAAUUGUUCAUUACUAUUGUCUAUCUAUAUAUGUCAUGUCUUGUCAGAGGUCAUUUUACUAUUGUCUAUCUAUAUAUGUCAUGUCUUGUCAGAG